This 492-nucleotide ribosomal RNA is filed under the name uncultured bacterium. RNAcentral's name for it is "partial 16S ribosomal RNA". It matches the Rfam family "Bacterial small subunit ribosomal RNA", at positions 29 to 507 of the family's 1533-position model. The record is from RNAcentral.
AGUGAACGCUGGCGGUAGGCCUAACACAUGCCAGUCGAACGGCAGCACAGUAAGAGCUUGCUCUUACUGGUGGCGAGUGGCGGACGGGUGAGGAAUACAUCGGAAUCUACUUUUUCGUGGGGGAUAACGUAGGGAAACUUACGCUAAUACCGCAUACGACCUACGGGUGAAAGCAGGGGAUCUUCGGACCUUGCGCGAUUGAAUGAGCCGAUGUCGGAUUAGCUAGUUGGCGGGGUAAAGGCCCACCAAGGCGACGAUCCGUAGCUGGUCUGAGAGGAUGAUCAGCCAAACUGGAACUGAGACACGGUCCAGACUCCUACGGGAGGCAGCAGUGGGGAAUAUUGGACAAUGGGCGCAAGCCUGAUCCAGCCAUACCGCGUGGGUGAAGAAGGCCUUCGGGUUGUAAAGCCCUUUUGUUGGGAAAGAAAAGCAGCAGGUUAAUACCCCGCUGUUCUGACGGUACCCAAAGAAUAAGCACCGGCUAACUUCGUG